This 222-nucleotide ribosomal RNA is filed under the name uncultured prokaryote. RNAcentral describes it as "partial 16S ribosomal RNA". It matches the Rfam family "Bacterial small subunit ribosomal RNA", at positions 525 to 746 of the family's 1533-position model. The record is from RNAcentral.
ACGUAGGGUGCAAGCGUUAAUCGGAAUUACUGGGCGUAAAGCGUGCGCAGGCGGUUUCGUAAGUCUGUCGUGAAAUCCCCGGGCUUAACCUGGGAAUUGCAUUUGUGACUGCAUGGCUAGAGUGUGUCAGAGGGGGGUAGAAUUCUACGUGUAGCAGUGAAAUGCGUAGAUAUGUGGAGGAAUACCGAUGGCGAAGGCAGCCCCCUGGGAUAACACUGACGC